GGUUAAUAAAGCAGUCUUUUGUACUUGUGUCGUUAUUAUUUCGAUAGCGAGGUAUAGGGGAUGAUGAAUUUUCAGCGUUUCGCCCGGGACUAUAAAGAUAACAAGGCGUAGACGCUUUCACGCCGUUGGACCAAAGUUCGGCGCCUGCAUUUCAUCGUGGACAUGGUGUUGAUGUUGAUGUUUUGGCAUACGGAGGAAGAGAGAGAGAGCUAAACAUUUUACGAAGCGGCUUUUUACUGGUUAAGCCUUCAUACUGAUCACUACAUCUGAACAAGGAACCACGCAGAGAAUCUAGCCUCCUUUAACUCAAGUUCUUUGUUCGUACAAACUGAUUUUCCUUCGAUUCAUCGUGGGACAAUCACAUUAGCAAAAUCGAUUUUUAAAGUGAAACUUCAUUGUCAUCUUACUACGCAAAACAGCUGAUUUAUUUAUCGUAACUUGCGAUAGAAAAGUCGAUGUCCCUAUUGCGUUCAUCAUAAUCGCGUGUUUACGCUGACUACUUUUCGAAAUUUCGUCCCGAGAGGAACAAUGAUGCAUUGAAUCUUGGCACAAACGAGAUUGCCAACAUUUGUUACUCCGCGCUACGAAGCAACCAGUUUUCGGAAAUUCAAAAAAAUGAACGGAAAACAGGGUACGACGGUGAAGCCAGCACCUACUGAUCCUGGAUCAGCAAAUGGAGAUGCAAAGUCAGAUAGUAUUGAACAGUCUAUAGAGAUGGGUAUUGCGUGUUGUAAAUGGACAAUAAAACCAAACACAGUUAAAAUUGCUGCCGGCGAAAAUAAAGUGUUAAUGUCGCCGACACUGCCGAUAGAGAAUAAAGGGGGGAUAACUUUGUGGCGAAUAAAAUUAGGGCUGAAUAACUUGAGCGAUAAAACGCCGCAACUACUUCACCAAAUUCACAUAACUGUUGUCAAUGUAGAUAACCAUGAUGUUCGAUGUCGAUACAGAGUCAGAAUAUUUGAUGGUAAAAAUGCUCUAUGGUAUGAUGGGAUUGAUAAAAACCAAACAUUCGAUGACAUUAAAGAGAGAAAGGAAGUACUAUCAAGCACGGAGGCAUAUGAUCUUUCAGCAAUUACCGUAUUAUUGUCUGUAUAUUCUGACGAGUAAGUGUAAAAUAAAGUUAACGAGGUAGCAAAUAAACAAAU
Phymastichus coffea is the source of this 1145-nucleotide RNA transcript. RefSeq lists it as uncharacterized. The record is from RefSeq and is a predicted model, not a curated record. The transcript has 5 exons. NCBI's taxonomy places the organism in Eukaryota, Metazoa, Arthropoda, Insecta, Hymenoptera, Eulophidae.